ACCAGCCUACAACAAUCUUGACAACGCCAUUAUUUGAAUCAGAGUACUUACAGCAUUUUUUAUGUCUGUCCUGGGUUGUCAUUGUGAUGAAUCUAGCGUAUGCUGUAGACGAGACCCUCGUUUAUGCUGUGACAGCGUGUCAAACGGGGAAGUAAGAAAGGCUUUUAUCAGAAAGGUUUCUUGCAGAAAUUCGGAAGUCAUUUUGCUGAAAGAACUCGGAGGAGUGCUUGAUGACGCCAUUGAUCCGUCUGAGAUGGAAUCUAAAAAUAACAGAAAUGAAUCAAUCCAUAUGGCUUGCAAGAAUAACAUCUGGCUCACAAGAGAAACUAAAUCAUUCAUGAUUUAGAAACUGGACUGAACAAGCAAAACGGAAAGCUCGAGACAGUGCUUACAAUGUGAUGUAUUGGUUGCAUCAACAAUACUUCCGGCAGAACCUAGUACCAUUUUCUGGAAAAUGCUGAAUGUAUUUUACAAGCGAAGUAAGAGGCAUAAAUAGUAGGCCUGCUAGGAAGUGUUUCUGGUGUCAGAAGUGUGCGCUUGUAAACGUAAGCACAGGUGCUUCCUCAGCACCUCUCCCACUACAGACUGUGGUCUUUGUCCACAGUGUGCUUAGAUGGUGAAUUCUUAGAGGGAGUUUGUGUGCCAU
Long non-coding RNA from Anguilla rostrata (American eel), 646 nucleotides. RefSeq lists it as uncharacterized. The transcript has 2 exons. The record is from RefSeq and is a predicted model, not a curated record. NCBI's taxonomy places the organism in Eukaryota, Metazoa, Chordata, Actinopteri, Anguilliformes, Anguillidae.